AAGGUCUCAUUUUUCAAGUUGUAGAUCAUAAUGAUAUUUCUAACCAAAAAUAAAUUAGAAGCUGUUGAACGAAGAGGAAAAAAUGGAGGGACAUCUGAAGUAGGAUCGAAAGGAGAAGAUCAAGGAGAUGAUGAAGAUAAAAAUUUUAUUUUGUUUUUGUUUUUGCUUUUAUUAAAUCGAAUUGGCGAUUUACCAGAAAGCAUUUGAAGGUAAAUUCCAAACUUUACUUACCAUUUAAUUCUUAUGUUAUUAAUGACUAUAUAAAUAAAUCAUGUUGUGUUUGCAGGUGGUAAUCCAACCAAUCAAAAACAGGAACUAAUCCUGAUGAGCUCAAAAUUGGUCGCUUUACAACUCGGAUUCUCGGUUGAUGUCUUUGGAGCUCCUAUCUUGUGGUGAUAACGAUGUCACCCACCAUCUUGAUCUAUUUCCCCACCCCCAUGGUCUAUUAUUAAUAUUGCAAGUAUUGUUUGCCACAAGAUGCAUUGUAAAUUAUGAAGCAUAGUGAUGCAUGCUCAUUGUGCAUGAAAAAUCGAGUAAGAAAGAGCUUCGUUAAAGAUCUAAAUUGUUUUGCAGACCAGUCGUUCUGGCCUUUAUUUUAUUUUUUUUUUAAAAAGGAAAGAUAUUUACUGAGUUCGAAUUAUGUUUGUAUUAUUAGAAUUAUUAAAUUUUUAAAUUUUUUUCUGGGGUAUUUUGAGGAAAGGGGUUUCAUGAGGACUUACUGAAAAGUGC
This 729-nucleotide long non-coding RNA is filed under the name Citrus maxima (pomelo). RNAcentral describes it as "long non-coding RNA (CMAX_LNC002319)". The record is from RNAcentral. Lineage: Eukaryota; Viridiplantae; Streptophyta; Magnoliopsida; Sapindales; Rutaceae.